AUUGAACGCUGGCGGCAUGCUUUACACAUGCAAGUCGAACGGCAGCAGGGGGGCAACCCUGGUGGCGAGUGGCGAACGGGUGAGUAAUACAUCGGAACGUGCCCAGUCGUGGGGGAUAACGUAGCGAAAGUUACGCUAAUACUGCAUACGAUCUACGGAUGAAAGCGGGGGACCGUAAGGCCUCGCGCGAUUGGAGCGGCCGAGGUCAGAUUAGGUAGUUGGUGAGGUAAAGGCUCACCAAGGCGACGAUCUGUAGCUGGUCUGAGAGGACGACCAGCCACACUGGGACUGAGACACGGCCCAGACUCCUACGGGAGGCAGCAGUGGGGAAUUUUGGACAAUGGGCGCAAGCCUGAUCCAGCCAUGCCGCGUGCAGGACGAAGGCCUUCGGGUUGUAAACUGCUUUUGUACGGAACGAAAAGGCUCUGGUUAAUACCUGGGGCUCAUGACGGUACCGUAAGAAUAAGCACCGGCUAACUACGUGCCAGCAGCCGCCGUAA
Molecule: ribosomal RNA, 500 nt
Filed under: uncultured bacterium
Lineage: Bacteria
Description: partial 16S ribosomal RNA
Rfam family: Bacterial small subunit ribosomal RNA
Source: RNAcentral